This 378-nucleotide ribosomal RNA is filed under the name Blastocystis sp. RNAcentral describes it as "SSU rRNA". It matches the Rfam family "Eukaryotic small subunit ribosomal RNA", at positions 191 to 573 of the family's 1831-position model. Lineage: Eukaryota; Bigyra; Opalinata; Blastocystidae. The record is from RNAcentral.
UUUGGAAGAGGUGUGUUUAUUAGUAAGAAAACCAUUUAUUUUUGGAUAAUAUUGUGAGUAAUAAUAACCUUUUGUAUUGUAUGUUUUUAGAUAACGAUAGUUUUUUCAAGUUUUUGCCCUAUCAACUUUCGAUGGUAGUAUAUGGGACUUCCCUGGCAGUAACGGGUAACGAAGAAUUUGGGUUUGAUUUUGGAGAGGGAACCUGAGAGAAGGCUUCCCCAUUCAAGGAAGGCAGCAGGCGCGUAAAUUACCCAAUCCUGACAUAGGGAGGUAGUGGCAAUAAAUCCCAAUGCGGAACUUUUUAGUUUUGCAAUUGGAUUGAGAACAAUGUACAAAUGUUAUCGAUAAACAAUUGGAGGGCAAGUCUGGUGCCAGCAG